This 433-nucleotide ribosomal RNA is filed under the name uncultured bacterium. RNAcentral's name for it is "partial 16S ribosomal RNA". It matches the Rfam family "Bacterial small subunit ribosomal RNA", at positions 29 to 507 of the family's 1533-position model. The record is from RNAcentral.
AACGAACGCUGGCGGCAUGCCUAACACAUGCAAGUCGAACGAGACCUUCGGGUCUAGUGGCGCACGGGUGCGUAACGCGUGGGAACCUGCCCUUAGGUUCGUAAUAACUCCCCGAAAGGGGUGCUAAUACCGGAUAAUGUCUUCGGACCAAAGAUUUAUCGCCUUUGGAUGGGCCCGCGUUGGUUUAGCUGGUUGGUAGGGUAAAAGCAUACCAAGGCGACGAUCCAUGGCUGGUCUGAGAGGAUGAUCAGCCACAAUGGGAAUGAGACACGGCCCAGACUCCUACGGGAGGCAGCAGUGGGGAAUAUUGGACAAUGGGCGAAAGCCUGAUCCAGCAAUGCCGCGUGAGUGAGGAAGGCCUUAGGGUUGUAAAGCUAUUUUACCAGGGAUGAUAAUGACAGUACCGGGAGAAUAAGCUCCGGCUAACUCCGUG